This 281-nucleotide long non-coding RNA is filed under the name Elaeis guineensis (African oil palm). RNAcentral describes it as "long non-coding RNA (EGUI_LNC040710)". Lineage: Eukaryota; Viridiplantae; Streptophyta; Magnoliopsida; Arecales; Arecaceae. The record is from RNAcentral.
UUCUCUUUUAUUUUGUAUUUUUUUUCUUGGUUUCCAAUCUUGUGAUCAUGUCACUGGAAAAUUGGAGAGAUAGCUCCUUUUAUAUUCAGUGAUACUACAACCAGUAUUACUGUGGAAAAAUAAAAAUAAAUGUAGGCCAUAUAAGGUGAGGAGUUGAGAAGAGAAUAAAAGGAGGGGGUUCAUUGAUGUGUUUAGGUGGCUUAUUUGAUAGUGGCCCCAAUGGUGCUCGAGUUGUGGCUAAUAAUCCAUACAGCAACUCUACAAUACCCGUCGAUGCUAUC